RNAcentral lists this ribosomal RNA (470 nucleotides) under uncultured archaeon. Its description in RNAcentral is "bacterial SSU rRNA". It matches the Rfam family "Archaeal small subunit ribosomal RNA", at positions 1 to 473 of the family's 1478-position model. The record is from RNAcentral.
AUUCCGGUUGAUCCUGGCGGCGGCCACCGCUAUAGGAAUUCGAUUAAGACAUGCGAGUCGAGAGUCGUAAUGGACUCGGCGGACUGCUCAGUAACACGUGGAUAACGUGCCCUUAAGUGGAGGAUAAUCUCGGGAAAUUGAGGAUAAUACUCCAUAGACUACGAAAUCUGGAAUGAUUCAUAGUUGAAAGUUCCGGCGCUUAAGGAUCGGUCUGCGGCCUAUCAGGUUGUAGUGGGUGUAACGUACCUACUAGCCUAUGACGGGUAUGGGCCUUGAGAGAGGGAGCCCAGAGUUGGAUUCUGAGACACGAAUCCAGGCCCUACGGGGCGCAGCAGUCGCGAAAACUUCACAAUGGGGGCAACCCCGAUGAGGGAAUUCCUAGUGCUAGCUCUUUUUGAGUUAGCUUUUCUUUAGCGUAGAUAACUAAAGGAAUAAGGGCUGGGUAAGACGGGUGCCAGCAGCCGCGGUAA